CCUACGGGGGGCUGCAGUGGGGAAUAUUGGACAAUGGGCGAAAGCCUGAUCCAGCCAUGCCGCGUGUGUGAAGAAGGCCUUCGGGUUGUAAAGCACUUUCAGUGGGGAAGAAAGCCUUGGGGCUAAUACCCUCGAGGAAGGACAUCACCCACAGAAGAAGCACCGGCUCAACUCCGUGCCAGCAGCCGCGGUAAUACGGAGGGUGCGAGCGUUAAUCGGAAUUACUGGGCGUAAAGCGCGCGUAGGCGGUCUGAUAAGCCGGUUGUGAAAGCCCCGGGCUCAACCUGGGAACGGCAUCCGGAACUGUCAGGCUAGAGUGCAGGAGAGGAAGGUAGAAUUCCCGGUGUAGCGGUGAAAUGCGUAGAGAUCGGGAGGAAUACCAGUGGCGAAGGCGGCCUUCUGGACUGACACUGACGCUGAGGUGCGAAAGCGUGGGUAGCAAACAGGAUUAGAUACCCCUGUAGUC
RNAcentral lists this ribosomal RNA (466 nucleotides) under Vreelandella stevensii. Its description in RNAcentral is "partial 16S ribosomal RNA". It matches the Rfam family "Bacterial small subunit ribosomal RNA", at positions 338 to 795 of the family's 1533-position model. The record is from RNAcentral. Lineage: Bacteria; Pseudomonadati; Pseudomonadota; Gammaproteobacteria; Oceanospirillales; Halomonadaceae.